AUUGAACGCUGGCGGAAUGCUUUACACAUGCAAGUCGAACGGCAGCACGGGGCAACCUGGUGGCGAGUGGCGAACGGGUGAGUAAUACAUCGGAACGUGCCCAAUCGUGGGGGAUAACGUAGCGAAAGUUACGCUAAUACCGCAUACGAUCUACGGAUGAAAGCGGGGGAUCGCAAGACCUCGCGCGAAUGGAGCGGCCGAUGUCAGAUUAGGUAGUUGGUGGGGGUAAAGGCUCACCAAGCCGACGAUCUGUAGCUGGUCUGAGAGGACGACCAGCCACACUGGGACUGAGACACGGCCCAGACUCCUACGGGAGGCAGCAGUGGGGAAUUUUGGACAAUGGGCGCAAGCCUGAUCCAGCCAUUCCGCGUGCAGGAUGAAGGCCUUCGGGUUGUAAACUGCUUUGUACGG
This 411-nucleotide ribosomal RNA is filed under the name uncultured bacterium. RNAcentral describes it as "bacterial SSU rRNA". It matches the Rfam family "Bacterial small subunit ribosomal RNA", at positions 30 to 442 of the family's 1533-position model. The record is from RNAcentral.